Molecule: unclassified non-coding RNA, 1007 nt
Filed under: Hevea brasiliensis (rubber tree)
Lineage: Eukaryota; Viridiplantae; Streptophyta; Magnoliopsida; Malpighiales; Euphorbiaceae
Source: RNAcentral
ACAUAGCUUUGGGCAUUCUGGAGGUAAGUGCUCUUUUAUCUUGUACUGCUGUCCAUUUGACAAGAUUUGUCUAGUUUCGAAGUUGGAAGACAGUCUAGUUUAAAUAUUAAAAUAUGUGAUGUGCCAGCAUUAGGCAUGGCUUGUGUUAACAAUUCAAGCCAGUUCAUGUCAGGAAUUGUGCACUACUCCACAUUGGUCCAUUGGGGUCCAUGUUUUUCCUCAAAAGGCAUCUAUGCAAGUUUUCUGUCCUAGGUUUCUUAUGAACAUUUCAGACCUCCUACUAGAUGCCUAACAGUGCAUCCGACAUGCCAACAUGACCUUGAGAGGCUCUCUCAAUCCAUGCUUUUGCAUGUCCUUGAAUUUUUUUGCUAUAUUUGCAAAUAAGCUCAAGUACCAACCAUAAUGAAUGCAAGGCAUUAUCUGUUUGUGACACACUGGUUAUCACAGUUUUGCUUCCUAUAGAUGUAUCAUAAAUUUGGGUCCUAAAUGUUGGAUACUAUGUUUGGAAGCAUGUCCACCAGCCUUCUUUAUAAAGACAUUAGUAAUUCUCCACAAGAAUGCCGUGGUUGCUAUGAAUUUGUUCAUGUGUCAACUGUUUCAAAGUGAGUGAAAUUUUGACAUUAUCACUCUACCUUGCUCCCUUCAGUUUACCUAGAAAGAAUGGGACAUUUUUAAUGGUCAAAAGUAAAAUCUUACUGUAGAGCGACAUACUACUACCCAAAAUAUCCACCUAAUAUUCCGUUUAACUUGGAUUGCAUGUAUACGCAGUAUAGUGAGUCAAAUCUCAUCUGGAAAUUAAUUCAGGAUGCUCAUCUGUUUUAGAAGCUACAGGCUCGCAGAAGCAUACUUGAAGGAUUACUUUUUGUACACAUCUUGCCAAUCAAGGCUCAUCCCCAUUUAAUAGUGUUAUAAUUACCAUUCCUGAAUUGUUAUUUUUGUUUCCAUCGAAAGUUUGGUUAAUUUUUGUGAAAUGUUUUUUUUUUUUUUUUUAUGCUCAUUUGCUUGCA